UGUUAAAGGUUUCAUCUAUCUGUACUGUUAAAAAUUGACGUGAUUGACGAAAUAACUAAACAUGUGUACAUCAUGCUAAUAUAUAAGAGCCAAUUUUUAACAGUAGAAAUAGAUUAAACUUUUAACA
This is a non-coding RNA of Gossypium raimondii (Peruvian cotton), 127 nucleotides long. Lineage: Eukaryota; Viridiplantae; Streptophyta; Magnoliopsida; Malvales; Malvaceae. The record is from Rfam.